AUCCUAGAGAGCAUGGGCUACCGCACCACCCUGUGUGAAGGCCGGCGUGAGCCUCAGGCCAGGGGCCAAGAAGGAUGUUAGAGUUAGCGGCUCCGCGUGCUUUCAUUUUUCUUUGCAUCCCCUCAGCCCUUCCCAUCACAGUGUGCACCAUCAGUCCACAAGCCUUUGCUGAACCUACUUUCAAUUCAAAAAGGAAGGCCAGACAAUCCUCUGAGGAAUCCGAAAAAGGAGAGCUGUUUCUCCUUUAAGCGGUUUGUGGAAGGAGGAAAUAUGAGCAAUUGAAAUGAACAAUUUGGAAACCAAAUAAAAGCAAAACUGGAUGAGAAGUGAGAGCCGCAAGCCCUGUGGGAGUGAAGCCGAGCUAGCGUCCCUUCCUUUCUCCCUUUCCUGGGGAAGAAAUCCCGGACGCCUGAAAAAGCUGUUCUCUUCAUUUGAGGGACUGCAGCUUCUCUCACGAAGCUCUCAGUAUUCCUUUUAGGUGCCGUACAUGGUGUUUCUACUUAUGAAAGAUUUUCCAACUAGGUACAGAUGGAAAAUACCGCGGCAGAAAUCUCUGGCCUUUGGGUGGGACAACUCCUGCAAGACACACGUUAGGGCGUGUUUAUUUUCAGAAGGCGGCAGGAGACUUUGCCAACACCAGUGCCCCUUGUUUUGACGGCAUUUUCCCAAGUAACUGAUUAUGUUCCUCUUCUACCAUACACACCUAAUCACAGCAGAUAGAGCCAGACAGGCUGAAAUUCACUGGCUACCCUUUAGCUCCUAGGAGGUGGCUGAGUUAGUCCUGAGGAGUUGCGGUUUACAGAGAGGCAGGGGUACCGGGAGCUUGGCAGAGCUCUCAACAAGAAUCAGGGUGACUGUAAGAGCAGAGACAUUCUGCAAGCUGACGGUGGCUGUCAUUAAGCUCACGCAAGCGGCUAUAUGUUACUGAAAGUUGAUGGCUUCUGAUUUAUUAGCUACACCUGUGUAAUAAGAACAUUUCUCUGCAUUGUUUAACACAGGACACAGACAACGCUUCCACGGCCAAAGUGGGCAAAACUCACUGCCUCGCGUGACAGCGAUCUACAAGACGAUUGCAAACAUGUUAGCAUAGAAGCAUGUACCGAACAUGCAGGGAGGUAACCUGGUGAGUCGGCCACGGGGCCAUCAUCUAAACAAGAGUUUAGAACACUCAUAUGCUAAUGAGCUGAAUUCUGCAAACGCACAGGCCUGCCUCUGACGUCAUUUCUGAUAACGUCUUGCUUUGAAGCAAGCCAACUCCCAUAGCUGUCAUCCAUCCCGCUUUUGGGGGUUGUUGGAAUAGGAGAUUACAACUGAAAUGUCUAAGACGGCCAGGCAAAUGUUAACAGUGAGGGGGCAGGUGGGGCAUCCGCCCCUUGGGAGUAAUUAUCCCUCCACUAGGAAAUAUGUUCUCUUCUGUUCCUGACAUAUGUGGGUCUCCUGGUUCAGCAUUUUCCAAUUUUGAGAAAAACGCACCUCAUGUAUUCCAUUCGCUGCCUAACCCAAUUCAAUUUCUUCUUCUAAGUUCUACUGCCAAGGAAACAACUUCACACCAUCUCGGUGCCAGAGAGCUCAGAGGAAGUGGGGAGGCUGUGAGAGCCGGGGGCCCAGGGCCCUUGAAGCAGGUUGCUUCUGAACAAGUCAAGCUAGCGGUGGCCAGAUGGGGCGGGGAUUUUUCUGAAUGACUACAGUUUGUCAGUUGUUCUUUCAAGUAAAAAUGGUGUUUUAGGAAAAAAAAAUUGGCUGGUUCAACUUGCACUUCAAAAGUUGCACAAGUGUUCUCCUCCCAAUCUCUGCAACUCAAUAAGCAGCCCACGUACUUUCUGGGUACUUCCCUUUUAAUCACACGGAAUCUUGAAGAGAGACAUAUGAGCAUCAAAGUUUAACAAAAUCCAUCAUUUUCCCGCUUCCCCAAGGCUUCAAUAAGCAGCCCAAGUACUUUCUGGGUACUUUAAUCACACGGAAUCUUGAAGAGAGAUACACGAGCAUCAAAAUUUAACAAAAUCGAUCCUCUUCCUGCUACCCCAAGGACACUCCUGUGUGAAACCGUGCUGAUCCGUGUCUCCUACGAGAGCAGGCUGCUGGGCCAGGCGCUGACAGCUCGCCCCAUGGAGCCGCCACCUGGACUCCGGGAGGCGCCAAGGCUUCAGCCCCCACGUGCUCUUAACAUCAUCCGUGCAAAUAUCAUCACAGCAAAAGAGGCAAAUAACGUCUUGGCAUUUUUAUGCAAAGAUUUUUGACCUUCGAAGCCCCCGGGAAGUGCGUGGGACUCUCAGGGUCCGUGGAACACAUUUGUAGAACAGAAAUCAGGGAGAAGCUAAGCCUCUUGUUCCCCAGGAAUUCUUUCAACGGUAUUUUAUCAUCAAUAGCUGAGGAGUAUAUUGUACCCCUCACACACGGUAAAACCAUAUAAAGGUAAACUACCUUUAGUUAUAUGCUGUUUCCUACGAAUAUGAUAUGUUCUCAAAAUAAAUUCAGAGUAGGAUCCAUUCUGUUUUACAAGAGAUCGAGGAGCGACACUGGCAGCUGGGUGCCCUCUGCUGGCCAGUCUGGGAAGUGGCUGGCUGGGAAGGCAGCGCUCAGACUUCCCUAAACUUCACAGAGGGCGUGAAUGGUCCAGCUCUUUUCAUAAAGACUCCCCUUAAGAAGCAUAUUCAAGAUUUUUCAACCACAUAAUUUAUUUAAUUUCAAUAAUUUAUUUUUCAAUAAUUAAAAUGUUUUUUAAAGAAUCAAGAUUAUUUUUAGAUUGAAAUAUGAUUAAAAAUAUUUGGUGACAUUAAAUUUUCUGUAGUGCAUCCAGGCAUCUCACUAGGUAACUUAAAAGCAAAAACCAAAAGUAGUAUCUAUGUUGUUUAUCCUCAUCAGUCACUGGAGUUUCGAUCAGACAGUCUUACUGUGCUUGAGAGCAUAGACUCUGCCUGCGUGUAUAGGAAGAGAAAGGAAGGGAACAGGUAGAAUCAAGUAAGAGAAAAUAGACUGCUGAAAGAAAACUUUCUGCUUACACGUAAGACAACUUUCUGCCUCUAUCUCUACCUAAUAUAGAUAAUUAUCAUGAUCACACAUUCAAACAGGGGCUUGCUAUGCAAAUGCCACAUCAGUGAUCAAAUUCUUUAAAGAGUUAUUCAGGUUUUGGACAAAUUUGCACUGAUGACCCAUCACAAUAUAGAGAAAAGCAAUUGAACUGCUUCAUAUGUAUUGAUUUGGAAUUGACUCGAUUCCAUCAGUUACCAGCUGUUAUUCUGAAUGUUCUCCAAAUGGUUCUGCCCACUUGAAAAAGAUACCUGGGGCCUUCCUUAACAUUCCCAGUUACCCAUCUAUGUAUAUUUUACAACUGGGCAUCCAUCCCAGGCAUUAACUGAGCACAUAUUACGUGCUAGACACUGUGCCAGGCUUUGGGAAGGGCCAAAGGUUAACAGGGUGUAUUUCCAGUCCUGAUAAAACUUUACUGUCUAGUUAUCCCUCAGUCGUUCCAGUACGAGGUGGGCUAUUGUAGGUCCUCUGAAUAGAUUACUUUGGGUGUUCAGGAAGGGGAAAGCUUCAUCAUGCAGGAAGUGAGAUUUGAGUUAGUUCUUGCAGAUUUUGUGAUAAUAACAGGCAGAAAUGGGAGAGUGGGGUAGUCCAUAUUGAAAAAGCAAGUGAACAAAAGCCUUGGGUCAGGGAUGUCCUGGAUGUAUUCUGAAAGUGAGAAUAAUGAAGUAUACAUUAAAAAAAAUACAGGCUGGGCACAGUGGCUCAUGCCUGUAAUCCCAGCACUUUGGGAGGCUGAGGUAGGAGGAUUGCUUCAGGCCAAGAGUUCAAGACCAACUUGGGCAACAUGCUGAAACCCCAUCUCUAAAAAAUUAAAGCUAUAUGUAUAGAUAUAGAUAUAUAACAGGAAUUGAGAAAAAUAGAUUCAUAUUAAUAAGAGGAAUAAUAACAUCUGCAAUAUUUCCCCAAGAAUCCACAUUCUGCUUAAUAACAGCUGGUGCAUAAUCCAAGCCAGUUUUCACAAUGGCCUUUCCCCCCUUUCUCUUUUUUCUACGAAAGAAGAAAGUCCCAUCUCACUAGUUGAGUUCUGGUAGGGGCCAGCUGGUGCUGGAAGGCUCUCUUAGAAGCCUGUGAGGCCCUUCAUGUGCUCAGCCAAUGAGCAGCUCCUGUUCUUGAGGUUGGAUGGUUUGAUGUAGAAGACAGUGGCAAGUUGAUUCCUAAUCUGACUUUGCAAAGUACAUCUAAAGUGCAUGACAGCAUGUGGACGUAGUUUCAAAAUACACCCAAUCAUAUGUCCUCAAUGCUGGUGAGUAAGGAAAUCAUCUCAGGCCUGAUGGUUGGCCUUAUUGAAAAAUCUGUGAUGCCUUCAUUGAAGCCCAAAGUGAACAUUUUUGUUGUUUCAUCCUUAGUAAGCUUAAGCCAUUCAAAAUGCUGAAUGAAUUGCUGAGAUAAAUCACUUGAAAUCAUAGAAAUGGACCUUUCUGGCAUGAUCUGUGUCAUGAGAACAAUUUUUAAAUCUUCCUGUGAACAGAGUCGUAGGACUGCCUUUCCCACUGCCAGCCCACCAUGUGGAGAAGCACACUGUGAGCAAGGUUCCUGUUUUGUCAUGGAGAGGGAUGGUGAGACGGCCUUGGUGGCAUUACUUCACUGUACAAUGAACCCUGCUCCAUGCGGGUGAGAUACAGCUGCAGCUGCUGACUUCCUGGCAAAUUUUCUCUCUGUGCACAUGAGCUGGUCCUGAUCUAACACAUUUUUCUGAGCUCCAUCCUAGCUCGUGGCUCAUUCAUUACAUUCAAACGCCCCUGCUUCUGAGACACAGGUGUGCAGUGGCAAAGGAACAGACGUGGUAACGCAUUCUGCCUCCUGCGAUCUGGUUUGUUCUCUGCACAUUUGUGACUUCAUCAAAUACCUGCUAGUGGACGCCCGAUGAUCAUACCUGCUUUUCCACAUGUUUUGUGUUUGCAUGUGUGAAACACAACAGAGGCAGGUGACGAAGAUUUCUUCCAGUCCCUCAUUUUGCAUCUUCUCUGAACACGGUAUCUGCUGUCGACCCGGAGUCUGCGUUUAUCAACUUCUCCACAGUCCCGGAGCGGGUACCUCCUUCUGCAAUUGAGGACGAGGCCUCUGCUAUUGAAUGGUGCCUUUCAGGUUCUCAUGGUUGCUUUUCUUUUCAUGUAAAACUAGCCAUUUCACAUUGGAAAACAUCACUUUAUGUUUGUUCUGGAAAUAUUCACUUGCUUUGUCUGGAAGGCCACUGUGUUUGGAUGCCAGUUACAUAAAGGAUUUGAUGAUGAAAAGUCUCAUUAAGGACUAGGAAUUAAUAGAUCAUCAAGAAAAUCCAGUUUCAAAAAUUUAUAUUUUCUAUUAAAACACAUCUGCUUUUAGCUACUUGUCCAAAACCAUCCUGGUAUGCAGGUUCUCAUUCAUCUUUAUAUCAGAGUCAUUCACGAUUUCCAUUCAGGAUAUUAUUUUGUAUAUUAUAGUGAGUUCAUAUACGUAUCCCAAGAUUGCUUUCACCUGUAAGGAAUCACCUUGUGCCACUAAUUCAUUUUACAGUGAAUUAGUGAUUGUAAAGAAAUCACAAUGCCAAUGACUUCGCUAAUUUAACAGGUGAUAGAACAUAACACACAAUGACAUAAAAAACGAACUUCCCCAAUCAACC
This 5626-nucleotide long non-coding RNA is filed under the name Homo sapiens (human). RNAcentral's name for it is "HSALNT0116547". Lineage: Eukaryota; Metazoa; Chordata; Mammalia; Primates; Hominidae. The record is from RNAcentral.